This 488-nucleotide long non-coding RNA is filed under the name Chinchilla lanigera (long-tailed chinchilla). RNAcentral describes it as "lncRNA (ENSCLAG00000025074.1)". Lineage: Eukaryota; Metazoa; Chordata; Mammalia; Rodentia; Chinchillidae. The record is from RNAcentral.
CUACAAACUAAAGAUGUGUUACCUGCUUCAUAUCAAUGCUGGAACAUGACCAAGACUUUGAACUACUUUACAAGGUGCAAGUUUCCAACAAAUGGUGUGUUCAUAGUCAACGAUUCCCUCUCUUAAUUUGAAGCCUGGGAAAAGAACAAUGAAUUCAGCAUGGAGGAGAGAAAGCUGCGGUGUGGAUGACUAGUGGCUGCUUUGAAAAGCUCAAGGGAGAGACUCAGAAGUAUGUUUGCAAAAGCUGGGGAAGAGACAGAGCAGAACGGACCUAUGGUAAGUUGGAUACGAUGAUUUCACAAGAGACUGUAAGAGAAAUGGAGGGAAACAUCGGUAGUACAGAACACCUGCAAUAAUGUAAUCAAGGGCAAUAAAUAAUAUAGAUUUUGAAGUGAUAAAUUAUGACAAGCCAAAUUGGUGGAUGUAAGUAGAUGUACAAGACUAGGAACUCAGUCCAGCCAAGCAGAUGUUAAGUGUUUAGAAUUUAG